UGGAAACAAAGAUAUCACACAAAAGGAAGCUUAGAAUGGAUCUAGAACAGAUUAAACAAAUAAGAAAAGACUGAAAACAAUAAGAAAAUGGAGUGUGCUGAAACUGUUUGAUGAAAUUUCUAAAUUGUUUGAUGAAAUGCCACAAUGAACUGUAGAUUUUGUGUUUUUCUGAUUUUUUAUUCUUCCAAAUUGGAUUGCAGGGGUUUGUUUGCUUUUUAU
This 219-nucleotide long non-coding RNA is filed under the name Vigna radiata. Its description in RNAcentral is "long non-coding RNA (VRAD_LNC013323)". The record is from RNAcentral. Lineage: Eukaryota; Viridiplantae; Streptophyta; Magnoliopsida; Fabales; Fabaceae.